Molecule: ribosomal RNA, 176 nt
Filed under: Bacillus cereus
Lineage: Bacteria; Bacillati; Bacillota; Bacilli; Caryophanales; Bacillaceae
Description: partial 16S ribosomal RNA
Rfam family: Bacterial small subunit ribosomal RNA
Source: RNAcentral
UUUAUUGGAGAGUUUGAUCCUGGCUCAGGAUGAACGCUGGCGGCGUGCCUAAUACAUGCAAGUCGAGCGAAUGGAUUGAGAGCUUGCUCUUAUGAAGUUAGCGGCGGACGGGUGAGUAACACGUGGGUAACCUGCCCAUAAGACUGGGAUAACUCCGGGAAACCGGGGCUAAUACC